RNAcentral lists this ribosomal RNA (578 nucleotides) under Neonectria sp. 99_114C. RNAcentral describes it as "eukaryotic LSU rRNA". The stretch from base 203 to 352 matches the Rfam family "5.8S ribosomal RNA". Lineage: Eukaryota; Fungi; Ascomycota; Sordariomycetes; Hypocreales; Nectriaceae. The record is from RNAcentral.
UCGAUUGGAUGAACCAGCGGAGGGAAUCAUUACCGAGUUACAACUCCCAAACCCCCUGUGAACAUACCUAUCGUUGCCCUCGGCGGUGCCCCGCUCCCGCGGCCCGCCCAGAAGACCCCCCAACCUCCUUGUUUUAUACCAGUAUUCUUUCUGGAGUAACCACCGAUUUAAAAUAAAUUCCAAAACCUUUCCAAACCACCGGGAAUCUCCUGGGGUUGCUGGGCAUCGGAAUGAAGGAACCCCAGCCGAAAUGCGAUAAUUAUUGUGAUUGGCAAAAUUCAGUGAAUCAUCGAAUCUUUGAACGCACAUUGCGCCCGCCAGUAUGCUGGCGGGCAUGCCUGUACGAGCGUCAUAUCAACCCUCAAGCCCCCGGGCUUGGUGUUGGGGAUCGGCGUGCCCUCGCGGCGCGCCGUCCCCUAAUCUAGUGGCGGUCUCGCUGUAGCUUCCUCUGCGUAGUAGCAACACUCGCACUGGAUUCGCAGCGCGGCCAACGCCGUUAACCCCCCACUUCUGAAAGUUGACCUCGAUCGGUAGGAAUACCCGCUGAACCUUAGCCAUUUAAUAAGCGAAAAAGAAAU